Myotis davidii is the source of this 58-nucleotide non-coding RNA. The record is from Rfam. NCBI's taxonomy places the organism in Eukaryota, Metazoa, Chordata, Mammalia, Chiroptera, Vespertilionidae.
UGGCUCAGUGGAUAGAGCAUCAGCCUGCAGGCUGAAGGGUCCUGGGUUCGAUUCCAGG